GACUGGGUGGCUCAAUGGUAGAGCAUUGGUCUUCGGAACCAAAGGUUGCGGGUUCGAGUCCCGUCUUAGUCG
Mayamaea pseudoterrestris is the source of this 72-nucleotide non-coding RNA. Lineage: Eukaryota; Bacillariophyta; Bacillariophyceae; Sellaphorales; Sellaphoraceae. The record is from the annotation of a GenBank genome assembly.